UACGUAGGUGGCGAGCGUUGUCCGGAAUUACUGGGUGUAAAGGGCGUGUAGGCGGGAUUGCAAGUCAGAUGUGAAAUUCCAAGGCUCAACUUUGGAGCUGCAUCUGAAACUGUAAUUCUUGAGUGCUGGAGAGGAUAGUGGAAUUCCUAGUGUAGCGGUGAAAUGCGUAGAGAUUAGGUGGAACACCAGUGGCGAAGGCGGCUAUCUGGACAGUAACUGACGAUGAGGCGCGAAAGGGUGGGGAGCAAACAGG
Molecule: ribosomal RNA, 253 nt
Filed under: uncultured bacterium
Lineage: Bacteria
Description: partial 16S ribosomal RNA
Rfam family: Bacterial small subunit ribosomal RNA
Source: RNAcentral